Molecule: ribosomal RNA, 164 nt
Filed under: uncultured bacterium
Lineage: Bacteria
Description: partial 16S rRNA
Rfam family: Bacterial small subunit ribosomal RNA
Source: RNAcentral
UAGGGAAUCUUCCACAAUGGGUGAAAGCCUGAUGGAGCAACGCCGCGUGUGUGAUGAAGGGUUUCGGCUCGUAAAACACUGUUGUAAGAGAAGAAUGACAUUGAGAGUAACUGUUCAAUGUGUGACGGUAUCUUACCAGAAAGGAACGGCUAAAUACGUGACAG